Non-coding RNA from Cucumis melo (muskmelon), 117 nucleotides. The record is from Rfam. NCBI's taxonomy places the organism in Eukaryota, Viridiplantae, Streptophyta, Magnoliopsida, Cucurbitales, Cucurbitaceae.
AGCCGUGCGAUGAGCACAGAGCGAACUAUUCUUUCGCCUUUUACUAAAGAAUAUUGUGUGCUCGUCGCUUACAGCGGCAUACGCUUAUUUUUUAAGGGAUCCUUUGGAAUUGGUCCC